AGUAACACGUGAGUAACCUGCCCCAGAGUGGGGGACAACAGUUGGAAACGAACUGCUAAUACCGCAUAAGCCCACGGAACCGCAUGGUUCAGAGGGAAAAGGAGCAAUUCGCUUUGGGAUGGACUCGCGUCCGAUUAGCUAGAUGGUGAGGUAACGGCCCACCAUGGCGACGAUCGGUAGCCGGACUGAGAGGUUGAUCGGCCACAUUGGGACUGAGACACGGCCCAG
Molecule: ribosomal RNA, 228 nt
Filed under: uncultured bacterium
Lineage: Bacteria
Description: partial 16S ribosomal RNA
Rfam family: Bacterial small subunit ribosomal RNA
Source: RNAcentral